This 353-nucleotide long non-coding RNA is filed under the name Vigna radiata. RNAcentral describes it as "long non-coding RNA (VRAD_LNC001341)". Lineage: Eukaryota; Viridiplantae; Streptophyta; Magnoliopsida; Fabales; Fabaceae. The record is from RNAcentral.
GCGGAAUGAUGAAAAUGAAGCUCUAAAGAGCUGACUCGAAGGAUAUGGAAAAUGAACACAAUGAAACCCUAGAAAAGAGGGGAAAUUGGAUUUGGACCGAUUAAACGGUGGGAAUCGAAGUUUAAUCGGUGAAAAAGGUUUGGAUCGGUUCAACAGAGGUUUUAAUCGGCUAAAAUUGAAGGAAAUGGAAAAAUAAGAAAGAAACCCUAGGUUUGGAUUAUGAUGAUCGGUGGAAAAGGAGGAGAGGUGACCAGAGAUGGUGAAACUGUGAAGGAAAUUGAACUUACGUUGACGAAAUAGGAGAUCUGUGAUGAAUUGGUGGAGAGGAGCUCUUUGAGAGAGAAAAUGCUCUC